RNAcentral lists this ribosomal RNA (492 nucleotides) under uncultured bacterium. Its description in RNAcentral is "partial 16S ribosomal RNA". It matches the Rfam family "Bacterial small subunit ribosomal RNA", at positions 29 to 507 of the family's 1533-position model. The record is from RNAcentral.
AGUGAACGCUGGCGGUAGGCCUAACACAUGCAAGUCGAACGGCAGCACAGUAAGAUCUUGCUCUUACGGGUGGCGAGUGGCGGACGGGUGAGGCAUACAUCGGAAUCUACUUUUUCGUGGGGGAUAACGUAGGGAAACUUACGCUAAUACCGCAUACGACCUACGGGUGAAAGCAGGGGAUCUUCGGACCUUGCGCGAUUGAAUGAGCCGAUGUCGGAUUAGCUAGUUGGCGGGGUAAAGGCCCACCAAGGCGACGAUCCGUAGCUGGUCUGAGAGGAUGAUCAGCCACACUGGAACUGAGACACGGUCCAGACUCCUACGGGAGGCAGCAGUGGGGAAUAUUGGACAAUGGGCGCAAGCCUGAUCCAGCCAUACCGCGUGGGUGAAGAAGGCCUUCGGGUUGUAAAGCCCUUUUGUUAGGAAAGAAAAGCAGCAGGUUAAUACCCCGCUGUUCUGACGGUACCCAAAGAAUAAGCACCGGCUAACUUCGUG